Seminavis robusta is the source of this 72-nucleotide non-coding RNA. NCBI's taxonomy places the organism in Eukaryota, Bacillariophyta, Bacillariophyceae, Naviculales, Naviculaceae. The record is from the annotation of a GenBank genome assembly.
CCAUUGGUAGCUCAACGGCAGAGUGUCAGACUGUAGUUCUGCAAGAUGUUGGUUCGAUUCCAGCCCAAUGAA